AUUCGGCGUUUUGAGAUCAACAAAACACCGACGUAGAUUUUAUUUUCACUGAGAAAAAAAAUUAAAUCCAAAAGAAAUGAUUUGUUCUUCUACCUUACGCAUGUCCGGCACCGGCACCGGCACCAGAAACGGCCCAUCUCCUCCGGCAAGUUCUGAAACUUCCGAUGAAUCUCAGCCGCAGGUUCAAAGGAUUAAAGCCAGUCCCCGGUUAAACCGGUGGUCCAGAGCUCGAAGCAUCAGGUCCGGCAGGAAACUAGACCGGUCUGCUGUCAGUGUCAACACUGAAUCACGCGCCAAGUCCGUUUCACCGGUUUGGAGUGAACCGGAAAUUGAGUUGCCUAUAUCUCCUAAACGUGAUAGCCGGUCCGGCUCGUCAGAGGAUGAAAAGGAGGUUAACGGAGGUAAGCCGAUAUUUAUGGUCUCUGAUGGAACUGGAUGGACGGCGGAGCACGCCGUUAACGCAGCGUUAGGACAAUUUGACUAUUGCUUAGUCGAUCGUGUUUGCCCUGUGAAUACUCACUUGUUCUCUGGGAUAGAUGAUGUUGAACAAUUAAUGGAGAUAAUAAAGCAAGCAGCCAAAGAAGGGGCAAUGGUUGUCUAUACUUUAGCUGAGCCUUCCAUGGCUCAAUUUGCCAAACAAGCAUGUCAACACUGGGGUGUAGCAUCUAAUGAUAUACUAGGGCCAAUUACCGAGGCAAUUGCUGGCCAUCUGGGCGUUUCACCUUCUGGCCUCUCUCGUUGGGCUCCUGAGAGGCAGAAAUCUCCUCUCAGCGAGGAAUACUUCCGAAGGAUUGAAGCAAUCGAAUUUACCAUAAAGCAAGAUGAUGGCGCCUUGCCACGAAACCUACAUAUGGCGGAUAUAGUUCUAACCGGUGUUUCACGAAGUGGGAAGACACCGCUAUCUAUUUAUCUAGCACAGAAAGGAUAUAAAGUAGCUAAUGUCCCAAUUGUCAUGAAUAUAGAUUUACCCAAGACACUCUUUGAAGUUAACCCGGAAAAGGUUUUUGCUUUGACAAUAAAUCCUGUUGUUCUGCAAUCCAUCAGAAGAGCAAGAGCUAAGACGCUGGGUUUUGAUGGAGAACUGAAGACCAACUAUUGUGACAUGGAUUAUGUGAAAGAAGAGUUGGAAUACGCGGGGAAAAUUUUUGCGCAGAACCCUGUCUGGCCAGUGAUAGAAGUUACGUCUAAAGCUAUUGAAGAAACAGCUGUUAUUGUUCUGAGACUUUACCAUGACAGAAAGAACAGGUGUUCAAUGCCAAGAAUUUCCAAACGCUAUUAAACUGUUGUUCUCAAGCAUUGAUGGAUCAGAUCUCAAAGACAAAUACUUGAAAUCGAAGGCAUCUUCUUUGUGCUGGCAGUCCCAGAGCAAUAAAUGUACGGUGGUUGCAACCUAUGUAUAACAGGUGUUGUACAUUUUGCUUGAUAUUGUACAGUGCUAUAUGUAGUUUGCACACAUAAUAGUUGGCAUAGGCUCUCAAAAGAAACCGAGAUGAGUGGGAGGCAGGAAAUGAAGAAAAGGUGAGAAAAAUAGCAAAAGGGAAAAAAGAAUAACAUGCAUAUAUUUAUGUAAUGAGAAGCUUCUGUGGCCACGCUUGCCAACACACCAUGGCGGAUUCAGAAAAAAUUUGUUCUAUGGAUUCAAUGUUUAAGUUUUUUAACAUUAAACCUGUUAUAUUUUUAAAGUUUAUAGGUUCGUAGGUACUAGUUUUUGUAAUUCUAAUAAUAUUUUACACAUAAUUGUAUAUGCAGCAUGCGGAAAGUAGUGGGCAGGGGCAGCUCGGUAGGGUUAAAA
Molecule: RNA transcript, 1792 nt
Organism: Solanum dulcamara
Lineage: Eukaryota; Viridiplantae; Streptophyta; Magnoliopsida; Solanales; Solanaceae
Gene name: pyruvate, phosphate dikinase regulatory protein 1, chloroplastic
Exons: 5
Source: RefSeq, a predicted model, not a curated record